GACGAACGCUGGCGGCGUGCUUAACACAUGCAAGUCGAGCGGUAAGGCCUUUCGGGGUACCCGAGCGGCGAACGGGUGAGUAACACGUGGGUGAUCUGCCCUGCACCUCGGUUUAAGUCUGGGAAACUGGGUCUAAUACUGGAUAUGACCUCCUAUCGCCUGGCGGGUGGAGGCAAGAUUUAUCGGUGCAGGAUGGGCGCGCGGCCUAUCAGCUCGUUGGUGGGGUAAGGGCCUACCAAGGCGACGACGGGUAGCCGACCUGAGAGGGUGAACGGCGACAAGGGGACUGAGGGAGGGCGCAGACGCGUACGGUAGGCAGCAGGGGGGAGUAUGACACAAUGAGCGAGAGCCUGUUGCGGCGGCGCUCGGUUAGUGAAGACCGCCUGCGGGGUGUGAACAGCAGUCGGCAAGGACGAAGCGGAUGUGACGGUACCUGAAGAAGAAGCACCGGCUAACUACGUG
RNAcentral lists this ribosomal RNA (462 nucleotides) under uncultured bacterium. Its description in RNAcentral is "partial 16S ribosomal RNA". It matches the Rfam family "Bacterial small subunit ribosomal RNA", at positions 28 to 507 of the family's 1533-position model. The record is from RNAcentral.